RNAcentral lists this ribosomal RNA (507 nucleotides) under uncultured bacterium. RNAcentral's name for it is "bacterial SSU rRNA". It matches the Rfam family "Bacterial small subunit ribosomal RNA", at positions 28 to 534 of the family's 1533-position model. The record is from RNAcentral.
GACGAACGCUGGCGGCGUGCCUAACACAUGCAAGUCGAACGGGGGGAACAUGAAGUAUUUCGGUACGGAAUGCGCCCCUAGUGGCGAACGGGUGAGUAACACGUGGGCAACCUGCCCCAGACUGGGGGAUAACAUUGUGAAAACAGUGCUAAUACCGCAUGACAGGGUUCCGGGCAUCCGGGACCCUUGAAAGGAGAAAAUCCGGUCAGGGAUGGGCCCGCGUCCAAUUAGCUAGUUGGCGGGGUAACGGCCCACCAAGGCGACGAUUGGUAGCCGAACUGAGAGGUUGAUCGGCCACAUUGGGACUGAGACACGGCCCAGACUCCUACGGGAGGCAGCAGUGGGGAAUAUUGGGCAAUGGGCGAAAGCCUGACCCAGCGACGCCGCGUGAAGGAUGAAGGUCUUCGGAUUGGUAAACUUCUUUGAUCAGGGAAGAAAGAAAUGACGGUACCUGAAAAACAGCCACGGCUAACUACGUGCCAGCAGCCCGCGGUAAUAGUCACGUCG